ACAACACCUGGUACAAGUCACAGACUCCAGCAGCCCCUGUGAAGCUGAUAUGCUGCAGGGUUAUCACGGGCUAAUGCUUUUCUUCCUUCUAUUUUUCUUUAAUCUCUGUAAGCAAAAGUCUUAGAAAUUUUUGAAAAGAAAGUUAUUAGACUAUUAGACUCUCUGUGAAACGUGGAUUAUUGCUUGACUUGUUAAUGUGCACUGCCCUCUUGUGAUGAAAUGAGUUUUCAGUGCUCUCUAGAAGUUCCCUUUCUGCUUUUCCUUUUUAUAUUUUCCUGGGGUUCCUGGUUUGGGUUCAUCUGCCUACCUCCUGCCUUUUGUUAAGGCUUUUUUCCUAAGGCAGAAAUGGUUCUUCUUACAAUUAAAAGGAUGAAAGAAAGGCAGAAAAAAGUGUGUUCAAAAUGUUCUUAUUGAAUAUUUCAUUCUUUUACACAGCUACUCUUUUAAGUUGCUUCUCAGAUUGUUUUGUUGAAUGUAUAGGAAUCAGAUAUGUAGAUAGCAAUUACGCUAGAAUAAAAUGUGAACUUUAAAGGAUGAGGAUAGUACUGAGCCAAUAAUACUUACUGGCUUGUUGAAAAGGCAAUGUUUGAGGGAAAAAUUAACUUUGGAGGAUCAGUAUGCAGCAAUGUGCUUAUCUGCAUAAUCGCCAUCAAAACAGCUCAGAGAACAAGUCCAAAUCUCCAGGCUAUUGCAACAGAAAGCUGCUUAUUAUUGUUGUGAUAAACACAGGCAGAAGUCACCUCUAAAAGCUGGGCAUAGCCAGGCAAAACCAAUCCUUUCUGGAACAUGAUGGGUGCAAAGCCAUUGCUGCCUGAGAUGGAGAGGAAGAGGAAAAAUCCAGGCAGGGUGACACACCACCCCAACAGAAGAGAUGGGGGCAUGAAGGAAAGACAGAGUGAUAUUUUACCUUAAGUGCUGUCUGGAAAAGGAUCGCUUCCUUCCAUGUUUUGGGCAAUGUGCAUCAGAUGUGUUUCACCACGGUCUUCUUGUCCUCUGAAUGGAAAUAAUGCACAGAGUACAUGAGUGAUUUCUCCCUUCUGACUGCGUUGUCUUAACCACACAGAAAGAAAUGGAUUUGUGGAUUUUAAUUCCUAGAAUCAGUUGCCUAACUGAUCACUUUCCUAAUGUGGAUGGCUCUAUAAACAUCAUCCAGUUAGGGAGGAGUUCGGUUUGCUUUGCUCUAGUAUUUCCAUUUCUUUGUGUUUUCCAUAUUUAACUGAUUAAUGUUGUGGCCACCACUGAAGGACAAAGCAUCUUCUGAACAGCCUACCAUGCUUCUGUGCUCUGGGGACAAUUUUCUGAGUGGAAAGAUCAACCGAAGUUUUACGAUGGUACAAUGAUGUAUGUACUGAUGGUACAAUGUACUGAUGGUACAAUGUUGGAUGCCAAGAAUUUCAGAAUCAAAGUUUUUGCAUUAUUUGCUUCAAUUUUUCCAUGAAAAAUAGCAUGUGAGGAGCUUGUAAUUAAAGGCUACACUAUUCCUGAUGUGCUGAAUGGAGAAUUCCAAUAAAAACAUAAAGCUG
This 1523-nucleotide long non-coding RNA is filed under the name Gallus gallus (chicken). RNAcentral describes it as "lncRNA (ENSGALG00010014351.1)". Lineage: Eukaryota; Metazoa; Chordata; Aves; Galliformes; Phasianidae. The record is from RNAcentral.